GCUCUCGUGGCGUAAUUGGAUAACGCGUUUGACUUCUAAUCAAAAGAUUGCGGGUUCGAGUCCCGCCGAGAGCU
Molecule: non-coding RNA, 74 nt
Organism: Chloropicon primus
Lineage: Eukaryota; Viridiplantae; Chlorophyta; Chloropicophyceae; Chloropicales; Chloropicaceae
Source: the annotation of a GenBank genome assembly